This 74-nucleotide transfer RNA is filed under the name Actinomycetota bacterium. Its description in RNAcentral is "tRNA-Leu". It matches the Rfam family "tRNA". From Rfam's summary of the family: Transfer RNA (tRNA) molecules are approximately 80 nucleotides in length. The record is from RNAcentral. Lineage: Bacteria; Bacillati; Actinomycetota.
GCCCCCGUAUCCCAAUCGGCAGAGGAAGGUCGCUUAAACCGGCCACAGUGUGGGUUCAAAUCCCACCGGGGGCA